Molecule: ribosomal RNA, 153 nt
Filed under: uncultured ammonia-oxidizing bacterium
Lineage: Bacteria
Description: partial 16S ribosomal RNA
Rfam family: Bacterial small subunit ribosomal RNA
Source: RNAcentral
ACCCUGAUCCAGCCAUGCCGCGUGAGUGAAGAAGGCCUUCGGGUUGUAAAGCUCUUUCAGCCGGAACGAAACGGUCACGGCUAAUACCUGUGACUACUGACGGUACCGGAAGAAGAAGCACCGGCUAACUACGUGCCAGCAGCCGCGGUAAUA